This 80-nucleotide non-coding RNA is filed under the name Candidatus Omnitrophota bacterium. RNAcentral describes it as "Omnitrophica WOR c-di-GMP sequence". It matches the Rfam family "c-di-GMP-I-GGC riboswitch aptamer". The record is from RNAcentral. Lineage: Bacteria; Pseudomonadati; Candidatus Omnitrophota.
AAUGAAAAAGGCAAAUUCGCCGUAAGGCGGAGACGCAAAGCUUCCGGUCCUGAAAGUAAAGGAUAGCGGGGUUGCCAAAG